UUGUCUGAUUUUGUGUUGUUAAAUUUCGAAACCUCUCUACAGCAGAGAUUCAUAAACAUUUUGUCUGGUUUUGCAAUGGAAGGAUCCCAGUUGAUUUUCUAGCUGAUCGUUUCGUUCCUAGCUAUCUUGGACAAACUGGGACUGUUGAGGACAUGCUUCAAGGUGUUAAUUAUGCAUUAGUUGGUUCUGCAGUUCAUCUUGUCUGUCUAGUGGAUCCCAACUGGUAUGGGCCAGCCUGUUUCGUUUGCUAUGCACGUUGAGCAAUUUGUUGAUACAUUCCAGCUGAUGAUACCGCUUCCAAUAUGAGACAGGAGCUCAAGAUUGAAUGCCUAGCUCUUGAAGCUCUUCUUGUUAGCGAAGGCACAUUAUUGUGCAACGCUUGAUGGGUUGCGGCUCGAGCAAAGCACUAAAGAGAAAGAGAGAAAAUCUGACCUCUUAAUGAAGAGGUUCAUUGGCUAAAAAGGAUUUGACGUGCUAUGUUUAUCUUCCAUUUGCGCAGACAACACAAAAUAAAGGGGAUGCUUAUUUGUUCACCUUAAUGUUAUACUAACUUAUGGUUUGAUGUUUCUAGGUUGAAGCUGGAACCGUAGUUGUUAAAGCAGUUAAACUUGAUGCUGUUCUUGGAGGCCGUGAUGUCCAACACCGGGAAAUUCAAGGCCAUGACUCUAACAAAAUUCUUGUCUUUUCUUCACUUCUUCAUCUGCUUCUGAUUUCUCUUCUUCUGAUUCCUCAAUCUUCUCAUUAUCAAUCCAAUCAUUUUCUGCAGCAAGGCCUAAUCUCUGCUGCUCCUCUCUAAUCCGAGUAACCAGCGUUGCUUCCUCUGCUCGUCUCAUCAACAUGACAAAUUAUUUUCUUUUCUUCACUUCUUCAUCUACUUCUGAUUUCUCUUCUUAUGAUUCCUCCAUCUUCUCAUUACCAAUCCAAUCACUUUCUGCUGCUCCCCUCUAAUCCGAGUAACCAACGUUGCUUCCUCUACUCGUCUCAUCAACAUAUCUAACCAAAGUUCUCGAGGCCUAGCCAUGUUCCUUCCCAUUAAUCCUGAAAUGUCUUGGCAUAUUUGUGGCGUACAUACGGCUCUCUAUCUCUCAUAACCUCCCUCUCAGAAAUACUAUCCUUCCUUCUCAUACAAGCCAGUCUUCUGUUCCACACCUCGAUUUGAACUCUUCUGAAGUCGGACUUAACUUCUUUUUUGACAAACAACCUUGUAGUCGGACUUAACUUCUUCUGCAGGUGUUUUACGUGCCAAUCAACCUUGUAGUCAUGUUUCAAAGCAUCAAACUCAGCCCGUUCAUCUACACUCAGAAAUCAAAGCAA
Camelina sativa (false flax) is the source of this 1314-nucleotide long non-coding RNA. RefSeq lists it as uncharacterized. Lineage: Eukaryota; Viridiplantae; Streptophyta; Magnoliopsida; Brassicales; Brassicaceae. The record is from RefSeq and is a predicted model, not a curated record.